Molecule: ribosomal RNA, 465 nt
Filed under: Vreelandella stevensii
Lineage: Bacteria; Pseudomonadati; Pseudomonadota; Gammaproteobacteria; Oceanospirillales; Halomonadaceae
Description: partial 16S ribosomal RNA
Rfam family: Bacterial small subunit ribosomal RNA
Source: RNAcentral
CCUACGGGCGGCUGCAGUGGGGAAUAUUGGACAAUGGGGGGAACCCUGAUCCAGCCAUGCCGCGUGUGUGAAGAAGGCCCUCGGGUUGUAAAGCACUUUCAGUGAGGAAGAACGCCUGGUGGUUAAUACCCAUCAGGAAAGACAGCACUCACAGAAGAAGCACCGGCUAACUCCGUGCCAGCAGCCGCGGUAAUACGGAGGGUGCGAGCGUUAAUCGGAAUUACUGGGCGUAAAGCGCGCGUAGGUGGCUUGAUAAGCCGGUUGUGAAAGCCCCGGGCUCAACCUGGGAACGGCAUCCGGAACUGUCCAGCUAGAGUGCAGGAGAGGAAGGUAGAAUUCCAGGUGUAGCGGUGAAAUGCGUAGAGAUAGGGAGGAAUACCAGUGGCGAAGGCGGCCUUCUGGACUGAAACUGACGCUGAGGUGCGAAAGCGUGGGUAGCAAACAGGAUUAGAUACCCCAGUAGUC